GGAGCCGGCCGCCGAAGAGCGCCGGCCAAUAGCUGGCCGGAGAGCGAUGGGGGCGGGGCGAAUGCUGAUCGCUCCUUCUAGAGACCCCCGGCGGGAAACCCUUGCCAGAAGUCCCUCCGGAGUUCGCUGCGGGCGCACAGCGGUCCCCGGCUCACUUUCCUGUAAUAGGCUGGCUUAUGAACCCUUGCUUCCAGGGCCCCUACCAGGUCUCUCUGCAGCUAAAAAUCUUCACAGUCCAGCGCUUGUUUAAAAGAACCGCUCGAAGAAUCAUUCUUAACCGUGGCACCUGCCUCCGCUCUGCGCUGUCUUCCUACCAGGUGAGGAGACCGGCCAAGAAAGGUUUUGGAGGCCUUACACUCAACGAGAGAAAAUUGGAGACGGCCUGAACCCCUGGGGGGGGGGGGGGGGGGAAGCGCAGAUGAGGAAACUGGACCCCCGACUUGUCCAAAGACGAAGACCCGGUUUGAGGCUGGGGCCUUCCAAAUCACCGUCCAUGGCAUCUUCUGCCCUAGAACGCCACAUCCUCCUCACUCCAGCCUUCCUCUCCCACCCACCCCCCCACCUCUCUGGCUCCAUUUCGUCCUGAUCACGAGGUCCCCAGUGAGAAUGUGUAACACCGUCAACUUCAAUCCAGCGACCCUGCUCCCAGAUAUUUGCCUAUGGGAGAGAACACAUGUGCCCUCCUACAGGCUUGGAGAUGAAUUUCUCUGCAUCUUUCCUCCUAAUAAUAAAAAAACUGAAAGCAGGUGACGGUUGACAGACGACAACACGAACUGGUGUGGGUCCAUGCAAUGGAAUAUUGCUCAUCAAUAAAAAGGAGCAAAUUGCUGAGGAAUGUGACUACAUGGAUGAAUCUCACUGACGUGUUGAGUGAAAGAAGCCAGAUACGAGUAUGUACUGUAUGAUUCAGCUCAUAUGAAGUUCUAGAACAGGCUGAACUAGAAAUUAGAUCAGUGUUUGUUUGCAAGGACUGGAAACAGAGGGACCA
Long non-coding RNA from Herpailurus yagouaroundi (jaguarundi), 988 nucleotides. RefSeq lists it as uncharacterized. The transcript has 3 exons. The record is from RefSeq and is a predicted model, not a curated record. NCBI's taxonomy places the organism in Eukaryota, Metazoa, Chordata, Mammalia, Carnivora, Felidae.